UGCUUGCACGGCGGCGGCCUUAAAACGCGCCAAAUGGCACCCUUUGUUUACGAGUACCGUUCGUUUCCCCGGUGGGCUUGCCUGCCAUGAGGACCAACAAAAACCUUUGUAGUAGCAGUAUCUUCAGUAAAAACAAAUAUUAAAACUUUCAACAACGGAUCUCUUGGUUCUGGCAUCGAUGAAGAACGCAGCGAAAUGCGAUAAGUAGUGUGAAUUGCAGAAUUCUGUGAAUCAUCGAAUCUUUGAACGCACAUUGCGCCCUUCGGUAUUCCGUUGGGCAUGCCUGUUCGAGCGUCAUUUAAUCAUUCAAGCUCUGCUUGGUGUUGGGUGUUUGUUCCGCCUCAGCGCGUGGACUCGCCUUAAAUUCAUUGGCAGCCGGUAUGUUGGCUUCGUGCGCAGCACAUUGCGUCGCGAUUCUGGCAGGCCUCCUCCCAUUAAGCUUCUUUUAAGUUUGACCUCGGAUCAGGUAGGGAUACCCGCUGAACUUAAGCAUAUCAAUAAGCGGAGGA
This 509-nucleotide ribosomal RNA is filed under the name uncultured Trichocladium. Its description in RNAcentral is "eukaryotic LSU rRNA". The stretch from base 144 to 297 matches the Rfam family "5.8S ribosomal RNA". The record is from RNAcentral. Lineage: Eukaryota; Fungi; Ascomycota.